UACGUAGGGUGCGAGCGUUUGUCCGGAAUUAUUGGGCGUAAAGGGCUCGUAGGCGGUCUGUCACGUCGGGAGUGAAAACUCAGGGCUUAACCCUGAGCCUGCUUCCGAUACGGGCAGACUAGAGGUAUGCAGGGGAGAACGGAAUUCCUGGUGUAGCGGUGAAAUGCGCAGAUAUCAGGAGGAACACCGGUGGCGAAGGCGGGUCUCUGGGCCGAUAUUGACGCUGAGGAGCGAAAGCGUGGGGAGCAAACAGG
Molecule: ribosomal RNA, 254 nt
Filed under: uncultured bacterium
Lineage: Bacteria
Description: partial 16S ribosomal RNA
Rfam family: Bacterial small subunit ribosomal RNA
Source: RNAcentral